UUUGUCGAAGUAAGAUCUGUACGCGACUGUUUUAAAAUCCACACAGAAAUACAACAACAAAAUUUUGAGAAAGCUGCAUUUAUGUAGUCAACUUGUCCUCGUUUUAUAUUGCCUACAAGAGAUCGACCGAAGAAUAAACUGAGCCUUGCCAAAAUUAUACUGUUGUCUAUUCUUGCCGACCUUUUAUUAAAACGAGUGACAACUGUAUUCUUCGUCAGCCUUAUGAAACAAUUAAUUUGCCAUUUGCCUUAUGUCGGAUCCUGC
Molecule: long non-coding RNA, 264 nt
Organism: Lucilia cuprina (Australian sheep blowfly)
Lineage: Eukaryota; Metazoa; Arthropoda; Insecta; Diptera; Calliphoridae
Exons: 3
Source: RefSeq, a predicted model, not a curated record